Molecule: ribosomal RNA, 500 nt
Filed under: uncultured bacterium
Lineage: Bacteria
Description: partial 16S ribosomal RNA
Rfam family: Bacterial small subunit ribosomal RNA
Source: RNAcentral
AUUGAACGCUGGCGGCAUGCCUUACACAUGCAAGUCGAACGGCAGCACGGACUUCGGUCUGGUGGCGAGUGGCGAACGGGUGAGUAAUAUAUCGGAACAUACCUUGUAGUGGGGGAUAACUAUCCGAAAGGAUAGCUAAUACCGCAUACGCUCUAAGAGGGAAAGGGGGGGAUCGCAAGACCUCAUGCUAUAAGAGUGGCCGAUAUCUGAUUAGCUAGUUGGGGAGGUAAAGGCUCACCAAGGCGACGAUCAGUAGCUGGUCUGAGAGGACGACCAGCCACACUGGAACUGAGACACGGUCCAGACUCCUACGGGAGGCAGCAGUGGGGAAUUUUGGACAAUGGGGGCAACCCUGAUCCAGCAAUGCCGCGUGAGUGAAGAAGGCCUUCGGGUUGUAAAGCUCUUUUGUCAGGGAAGAAACGGUUGUGGCUAAUAUCCAUGGCUAAUGACGGUACCUGAAGAAUAAGCACCGGCUAACUACGUGCCAGCCGCCGCAGUAA